RNAcentral lists this ribosomal RNA (465 nucleotides) under Vreelandella stevensii. Its description in RNAcentral is "partial 16S ribosomal RNA". It matches the Rfam family "Bacterial small subunit ribosomal RNA", at positions 338 to 795 of the family's 1533-position model. The record is from RNAcentral. Lineage: Bacteria; Pseudomonadati; Pseudomonadota; Gammaproteobacteria; Oceanospirillales; Halomonadaceae.
CCUACGGGAGGCUGCAGUGGGGAAUAUUGGACAAUGGGGGCAACCCUGAUCCAGCCAUGCCGCGUGUGUGAAGAAGGCCCUCGGGUUGUAAAGCACUUUCAGUGAGGAAGAACGCCUGGUGGUUAAUACCCAUCAGGAAAGACAUCACUCACAGAAGAAGCACCGGCUAACUCCGUGCCAGCAGCCGCGGUAAUACGGAGGGUGCGAGCGUUAAUCGGAAUUACUGGGCGUAAAGCGCGCGUAGGUGGCUUGAUAAGCCGGUUGUGAAAGCCCCGGGCUCAACCUGGGAACGGCAUCCGGAACUGUCAAGCUAGAGUGUAGGAGAGGAAGGUAGAAUUCCCGGUGUAGCGGUGAAAUGCGUAGAGAUCGGGAGGAAUACCAGUGGCGAAGGCGGCCUUCUGGACUGACACUGACACUGAGGUGCGAAAGCGUGGGUAGCAAACAGGAUUAGAUACCCCAGUAGUC